Molecule: transfer RNA, 50 nt
Filed under: Rattus exulans (Polynesian rat)
Lineage: Eukaryota; Metazoa; Chordata; Mammalia; Rodentia; Muridae
Description: partial tRNA-Trp
Source: RNAcentral
CAGUCCAAGAGCCUUCAAAGCCCUUAGAAAACAAACGAGUUUAACUUCUG